This 2861-nucleotide ribosomal RNA is filed under the name freshwater metagenome. Its description in RNAcentral is "bacterial LSU rRNA". It matches the Rfam family "Bacterial large subunit ribosomal RNA". The record is from RNAcentral.
UCAAGCUACCGGAGGCGCACGGAGAAUGCCUUGGCACCAGAAGGCGAUGAAGGACGUGAUAAGCUGCGAUAAGCCCCGGGGAGCCGCACAUAGGCGCUCGGACCCGGGGAUGUCCGAAUGGGGUAACCCAGCCGGGGUAAUGCCCGGCUUCGCCGGCCUGAAUUCAUAGGGCCGGUUUGAGCCAUACCCGCUGAAGUGAAACAUCUCAGUAAGCGGAGGAGAAGAAAACGACUGUGAUUCCGUCAGUAGUGGCGAGCGAAAGCGGAAGAGCCUAAACCGGGGGGCUUGCUCCCCGGGGUUGUAGGGCUGCGAUAUGGGAUCCGGACGGUUAGGCGAAGCGGAUGGAAAGCCGCUCCCCAGAGGGUGAAAGGCCCGUAACCGAAAACCGAAAGGACCCUAGCAGUACCCUGAGUAACGCGAUGCACGUGAAACUUCGCGUGAACCCGUCCCGACCACGGGAUAAGGCUAAAUACUCUCUGGUGACCGAUAGUGAACAAGUACCGCGAGGGAAAGGUGAAAAGAACCGCUGUGAGCGGAGUGAAAGAGAACCUGCAACCGUGUGCCGACAAGGUGUCAGAGCCCCGCAAGGGGUGAUGGCGUGCCUUUUGCUUAAUGAGUCUGCGAGUUAUUGUCUGUGGCGUGCCGAAGGACUUCUGGUCCCGAGGCCCAGCGAAAGCGAGUCCGAAAUGGGCGAAUUUGUCGCAGGCAGUAGACCCGAAGCGGAGGUGAUCUACCCAUGGUCAGGAUGAAGUCCCGGUAACACGGGAUGGAGGUCCGAACUGGUGAGCGUUGAAAAGCUCUCGGAUGAACUGUGGGUAGGAGCGAAAGACUAAUCAAACCCCGUGAUAGCUGGUUCUCCCCGAAAUAGCUUGAGGGCUAGCCUGGCGUGCUGACCCAUGGAGGUAGAGCACUGGAUGGACGAGGGCCCAUACCCGGGUACCGAAUCCAAUCAAACUCCGAAUGCCAUGGGGCGCAGCGCCGGAGUCAGACGGCGGGGGAUAAGCUUCGUCGUCGAGAGGGAAACAGCCCAGACCGUCAGCUAAGGUGCCUAACGACCGCUCAGUGGAAAGGAUGUGGGAUUUCUUAGACAGUGAGGAUGUUGGCUUAGAGGCAGCCAUCAUUUAAACAAAGCGUAACAGCUGACUCAUCGAGAGAUCCCGCGCCGAAAAUGAUUGGCGAUCAAGCGGUCGACCGAAGCUACGGACUCCAUCCCGGUUCGCCGGGGUGGAUUGGUAGGGGAGCGUUCUGUACGCAUCGAAGCGGAAGGGAAACCGACCGUGGAGUGUACGGAAGUGAGGAUGCAGACAUGAGUAGCGAUCAUCCCGGUGAAAUUCCGGGACGCCGUAAACCCAAGGUUUCCUGGGGAAGGUUCGUCCUCCCAGGGUUAGUCGGGUCCUAAGUCGAGGCCGCACGGCGUAGACGAUGGGCAGCAGGUUCAAUAUUCCUGCACCACCGACAUUUAACCGAUGAAGACGCAGAGAUGGAGAGGGGCGAGGUGUUGAACGUCCUUGUCCCGCAAGGGGACGCGGAGGCCACGGCCGAAGCGGAUUCCUCAAAGUCCCUGCCGAGAAAACUCAUCGGGUAUACUAAGGUGCCCGUACCGUAAACCGACACAGGUGGGUGAGUAGAAUAUACUAAGGUGCGCGAGUGAACCCUCUUCAAGGAACUCGGCAAUCUAACCCCGUAACUUCGGAAGAAGGGGUGCCCGUCGCAAGACGGGUCGCAGAGAAAUGGGCCUACCGACUGUUUAGCAAAAACACAGCACUCUGCUAAGUCGUGAAGACGACGUAUAGGGUGUGACACGUGACCAAUGCCGAAAGAUUACGGUGAGAGGUCAGCCGCAAGGCGAAGCUUCGAACCCAAGUCCCGGUGAAUGUCGGCCGUAACUAUAACGGUCCUAAGGUAGCGAAAUUCCUUGUCGGGUAAGUUCCGACCUGCACGAAUCGUGUAACGAGUGGGCCGCUGUCUCGAAGAGGCGCUCGGCGAAGUUGUAGUGGCGGUGAAGAUGCCGCCUACCCGCAGUAGGACGGAAAGACCCCGUGCACCUUUACUGUAAGCUGUCGCUGGAUUUUCGUUCGGAAUACUUAGCGUAAGUGGGAGACGUUGAUCCUUGGGUUUCGGCCUAAGGGGAGUCGCCAAUGAAACACCACCUUUUCUUCAUGAAGAUUCUAACCCUUGCCCGUGAUCCGGGCGGGGGACCACGGCAGCGGGUCAGUUUGACUGGGGCGGUUUCCUCCUAAAGAGUAACGGAGGAGUGCUAUGGUUCCCUCAGCAUGGUUGGCAAUCAUGCGUCGAGCGUAUGGGUAGAUGGGAGCCUGACUGCGAGACCUACAAGUCGAGCAGGGACGAAAGUCGGCCCAAGUGAUCCGGUGGUUGAAUGUGGAAUCGCCAUCGCUCAUCGGACAAAAGGUACGCCGGGGAUAACAGGCUGAUCGCGCCCAAGAGUUCAUAUCGACGGCGCGGUUUGGCACCUCGAUGUCGGCUCAUCGCAUCCUGGGGCUGGAGAAGGUCCCAAGGGUCCGGCUGUUCGCCGGUUAAAGCGGUACGCGAGCUGGGUUCAGAACGUCGUGAGACAGUUCGGUCCUUAUCCACUGUGGGCGCAGGAAAUGUGACGGGUUCAUUCCCUAGUACGAGAGGACCGGGAAUGACGCACCUCUGGUGUUCCGGUUGUCGCGUCCGCGGCAGCGCCGGGUAGCUAUGUGCGGAAGGGAUAAGCGCUGAAAGCAUCUAAGCGCCAAGCCCAUCCGAAGAUGACAUUUCCCCAUUAGGGACGUGGUAGACCACCACGUUGAUAGGUCGCGAGUGGAAGCACGGUAACGUGUUGAGCUGAGCGAUACUAAUUUCCCGAUUGGCUUGAUCUC